GCCUGAGACGGGCAGCCCCCUCUCCGUGCCCUUAUCAGGGGACACAUUCCAGCCUGGCUCUGUCCUCCCAGCGGAGAUAGAGCCCAGCUUCCGGCCCUGGGCAGGGGCGCCUGGAAGCCAGGGUUAUCAGCAGGAAGCCUGCGCCUCUUUCUCAGCCGGCUGGAGAAAGCAGUCAGGCCCAGAGGUGACCGGCUCGGGGGACCUGCGCUGGGGUCGGGGGACAGCGGCCCGGAAGUGUGUGGGACCCGGCUGGGUUUCAGCCAGAGGCUCGCAAGCCUUGAGCGGUUCCUGGGUGGCCGGCUUGCCCCGCAGGCCGCCUGUCGCUGCUGUCCCAGGCCCAGCCAGGCCCUGCCGGGGACGGCGCCCGGGAUGGCUGGUGAGGGGCAGAGGCCCGGGGCGUCCCCAGGCAGCGGGCAGCGAGGCUGAGGGCCGGGGCUGGCUCCGUGGAAGCUGGCUUGGAUUCGAGUCAGGGCAGGGCGGGCGGCUGAGCGGAUCAGGCGGCCGGGUCGGUUGGGGCCUCAGCCGAGGUGAACGCUGGCCUUUCUCACCCUUUGAGAACGGGGAGCGGACGUUCUUACUUCACGUGGCAGCGUGCACCUCGGGGCCGCACUGAGAUCUCCCGGGGACCAGAGUGGGCACACGCGCACACGCUUACUGAGCCCCAGUGCAGGCUGGCCUUGCACUCACUCUGUGAGCUCCUCCUGCCUCAGCCUCCCCAGUGCCGGGAUGACAGGUGUGCACCACCACGCCUGGCUUGGAGCCAGUGUUUGACGUCACCACGGGGCCUUGUCAUCACCGCAUUCCUUGCCGUUGGGUGCAGCCGUGCACUGCCUUAUCUCAGAGGUGCACAUUUCAACUUUUCAUCUCUGGGAGUCCGCCGCCCCAACUAUGGAAACAAAGAAACGAGCAAAAGUAAAAUAAACAAGUGGACAAAUAAAUAGAUAAAUGGGC
This is a long non-coding RNA of Chinchilla lanigera (long-tailed chinchilla), 951 nucleotides long. RefSeq lists it as uncharacterized. The record is from RefSeq and is a predicted model, not a curated record. Lineage: Eukaryota; Metazoa; Chordata; Mammalia; Rodentia; Chinchillidae. The transcript is spliced from 2 exons.